Molecule: ribosomal RNA, 538 nt
Filed under: Serica sp. 'Trichoserica' c.s.syu201339
Lineage: Eukaryota; Metazoa; Arthropoda; Insecta; Coleoptera; Scarabaeidae
Description: eukaryotic LSU rRNA
Rfam family: Eukaryotic large subunit ribosomal RNA
Source: RNAcentral
AAAGGCGCAAUGAAAGUGAAGGUCCGCCUUGCGCGGACCGAGGGAGGAUGGACCGUCCCAAGGGACGGCCUCGCACUCCCGGGGCGUCUCGCUCUCAUCGCGAGAAGAGGCGCACCCAGAGCGUACACGCUGGGACCCGAAAGAUGGUGAACUAUGCCUGGUCAGGACGAAGUCAGGGGAAACCCUGAUGGAGGUCCGUAGCGAUUCUGACGUGCAAAUCGAUCGUCGGAACUGGGUAUAGGGGCGAAAGACUAAUCGAACCAUCUAGUAGCUGGUUCCCUCCGAAGUUUCCCUCAGGAUAGCUGGCGCUCGCUUCUCGCGAGUCUCAUUCGGUAAAGCGAAUGAUUAGAGGCAUUGGGGUCGAAACGGCCUCAACCUAUUCUCAAACUUUAAAUGGGUGAGAUCUCCGGCUUGCUUGAACUAUGAAGCCGCGAGAUAUCGGAUCAGAGUGCCAAGUGGGCCACUUUUGGUAAGCAGAACUGGCGCUGUGGGAUGAACCAAACGCCGAGUUAAAGCGCCUAAAUCGACGCUUAUGGGA